CGCUGGCGGCGUGCUUAACACAUGCAAGUCGAACGGGAUCNGCUGGAACUUGCUCCGGCCGUGAGAGUGGCGAACGGGUGAGUAAUGCGUGACCGACCUGCCCCAUACACCGGAAUAGCUCCUGGAAACGGGUGGUAAUGCCGGAUGCUCCGACAUGACGCAUGUCGUGUCGGGAAAGAUUCAUCGGUAUGGGAUGGGGUCGCGUCCUAUCAGCUUGAUGGCGGGGUAACGGCCCACCAUGGCUUCGACGGGUAGCCGGCCUGAGAGGGCGACCGGCCACAUUGGGACUGAGAUACGGCCCAGACUCCUACGGGAGGCAGCAGUGGGGAAUAUUGCACAAUGGGCGCAAGCCUGAUGCAGCGACGCCGCGUGCGGGAUGACGGCCUUUCGGGUUGUAAACCGCUUUUGACUGGGAGCAAGCCCUUCGGGGUGAGUGUACCUUUCGAAUAAGCACCGGCUAACUACGUGCCAGCAGCCGCGG
Molecule: ribosomal RNA, 481 nt
Filed under: Bifidobacterium adolescentis
Lineage: Bacteria; Bacillati; Actinomycetota; Actinomycetes; Bifidobacteriales; Bifidobacteriaceae
Description: bacterial SSU rRNA
Rfam family: Bacterial small subunit ribosomal RNA
Source: RNAcentral